AUGGAGGUGGAGGUAGCGGACCCCCAGUCGAAGGACGCGCCCACCUCCACGCUCGCUUUCUGCCCGGAGGGGCCGUUCCUCGCCGCCGGCGCCAUGGGCGACAUCAAGCCGAAGCUGCGGCUCCUCCGUUCCACCCCGGGCGCCUACCUCUUCGACGAGUUGGGUUCGUUCUGGUCGCCAGCGCCGCUCCGCCGCGUCUGCUGGUCGGACGCAUUCUCGUCGGGCUCCUCAAGGCCACUCGCGGGUCUCAUUGCUAGAGGUUUGGAGAACGGCUCCGUCGUCGUGUGGGAUCCGCACAAGAAGAUCAGCGACUGGAAUGCUUCUGAGUACGACGCAGGCGAGAUGGAGCUCAAGGAGAGGCUGAAACUGGAACGGGGCGAAUUCAGGACUCGAGCAAACAGUUUCAGACUGGACCAGCAGCACAUCGGGCAGCGUAAGCCAUCGCCGCCGCUCCUCGACAAGAUGACGAGCAAUUUCACACCGUCCACGGGCGCGGCCCACGGCCUGGUGGCUUCACUUCGUCCCUCCUUUCCCGCGCAGCGCGGCCCGGUACGAGCCUUAGAGUUUAGCCCAUGUUCGCCAACAUUGCUUGCUUCGGGCUCUGAGGACGGGCUGAUCUUAGUGUGGGAUAUAGCGAACAUUGUUCGCCAACAUGUCUGCUCCAUCAGUCCCCACAUAUCAGCAUAUUUCUAG
This 693-nucleotide ribosomal RNA is filed under the name Triticum aestivum (bread wheat). RNAcentral describes it as "partial small subunit ribosomal RNA". The record is from RNAcentral. Lineage: Eukaryota; Viridiplantae; Streptophyta; Magnoliopsida; Poales; Poaceae.